GCGCAGCCUGAUGGAGCACACCGCGUGAGUGAAGAAGGGUUUCGGCUCGUAAAGCUCUGUUGUUAGAGAAGAACGUGCGUGAGAGCAACUGUUCACGCAGUGACGGUAUCUAACCAGAAAGUCACGGCUAACUACGUGCCAGCAGCCGCGGUAAUACGUAGGUGGCAAGCGUUAUCCGGAUUUAUUGGGCGUAAAGCGAGCGCAGGCGGUUUGAUAAGUCUGAUGUGAAAGCCUUUGGCUUAACCAAAGAAGUGCAUCGGAAACUGUCAGACUUGAGUGCAGAAGAGGACAGUGGAACUCCAUGUGUAGCGGUGGAAUGCGUAGAUAUAUGGAAGAACACCAGUGGCGAAGGCGGCUGUCUGGUCUGCAACUGACGCUGAGGCUCGAAAGCAUGGGUAGCGAACAGGAUUAGAUACC
This 417-nucleotide ribosomal RNA is filed under the name Limosilactobacillus mucosae. RNAcentral's name for it is "bacterial SSU rRNA". It matches the Rfam family "Bacterial small subunit ribosomal RNA", at positions 375 to 786 of the family's 1533-position model. The record is from RNAcentral. Lineage: Bacteria; Bacillati; Bacillota; Bacilli; Lactobacillales; Lactobacillaceae.